CCCUUAGAUGUUCUGGGCCGCACGCGCGCUACACUGACGAAGUCAGCGAGCAUGUCCUACGCCGACAGGUGCGGGGAAUCUUGUCAAACUUCGUCGUGAUGGGGAUUGAUUAUUGAAAUUCUUGAUCAUCAACGAGGAAUUCCUAGUAAGCGCAAGUCAGCAGCUUGCGUUGAUUACGUCCCUGCCCUUUGUACACACCGCCCGUCGCUACUACCGAUUGAAUGGUUUAGUGAGAUCUUCGGAUUGGCGCCACUGCGGCUCAGCAAUGGGCUCGGUGGAUGCCGAAAAGUUGAUCAAACUUGAUCAUUUAUAGGAAGUAAAAGUCGUAACA
Molecule: ribosomal RNA, 331 nt
Filed under: uncultured eukaryote
Lineage: Eukaryota
Description: partial 18S ribosomal RNA
Rfam family: Eukaryotic small subunit ribosomal RNA
Source: RNAcentral